Small nuclear RNA from Vombatus ursinus (common wombat), 104 nucleotides. The record is from Ensembl. NCBI's taxonomy places the organism in Eukaryota, Metazoa, Chordata, Mammalia, Diprotodontia, Vombatidae.
CUGUUGAUUGCACUUGCUUUGGCAGCACAUAUACAAUACAGAGAAGAUUAGCAUGACCCCUGCUCAAGGAUGACAUGCAAAUUCAUGAAGCGUUCCAUAUUUUU